UACAGAGGUCCCAAGCGUUGUUCGGAUUCACUGGGCGUAAAGGGUGCGUAGGUGGCGAGGUAAGUCGGAUGUGAAAGCUCGGAGCUCAACUCCGAAAUGGCAUUGGAAACUACCUUGCUAGAGGGUCGGAGGGGGGACUGGAAUUCUUGGUGUAGCAGUGAAAUGCGUAGAUAUCAAGAGGAACACCAGUGGCGAAGGCGAGUCCCUGGACGACUCCUGACACUGAGGCACGAAAGCUAGGGGAGCAAACAGG
RNAcentral lists this ribosomal RNA (253 nucleotides) under uncultured bacterium. RNAcentral's name for it is "partial 16S ribosomal RNA". It matches the Rfam family "Bacterial small subunit ribosomal RNA", at positions 524 to 776 of the family's 1533-position model. The record is from RNAcentral.